Non-coding RNA from Mycena capillaripes, 90 nucleotides. The record is from the annotation of a GenBank genome assembly. NCBI's taxonomy places the organism in Eukaryota, Fungi, Basidiomycota, Agaricomycetes, Agaricales, Mycenaceae.
GGCUUGGUGGUGGAUGGCCCAUACCUGCUUCCUCUGUCAAUUGUGCUCUUGUGUGAGCAGGAGCCGCCUGUUCGAAUCAGGCCCGAGCCC